This 75-nucleotide transfer RNA is filed under the name Ixodes scapularis (black-legged tick). RNAcentral's name for it is "tRNA-Ala". It matches the Rfam family "tRNA". From Rfam's summary of the family: Transfer RNA (tRNA) molecules are approximately 80 nucleotides in length. Their secondary structure includes four short double-helical elements and three loops (D, anti-codon, and T loops). Lineage: Eukaryota; Metazoa; Arthropoda; Arachnida; Ixodida; Ixodidae. The record is from RNAcentral.
CCCUGGUUAGCUCAGUUGGUAGAGCCCUCCACCUGCAAUGGAGAGGUCCCGGGUUCGAUACCCGGACCCGGCGGA